RNAcentral lists this ribosomal RNA (427 nucleotides) under uncultured Burkholderiaceae bacterium. RNAcentral describes it as "bacterial SSU rRNA". It matches the Rfam family "Bacterial small subunit ribosomal RNA", at positions 355 to 774 of the family's 1533-position model. The record is from RNAcentral. RNAcentral also lists the same sequence under 1 other name. Lineage: Bacteria; Pseudomonadati; Pseudomonadota; Betaproteobacteria; Burkholderiales; Burkholderiaceae.
UGGGGAAUUUUGGACAAUGGGCGCAAGCCUGAUCCAGCAAUGCCGCGUGUGUGAAGAAGGCCUUCGGGUUGUAAAGCACUUUUGUCCGGAAAGAAAACCGCCUGGCUAAUAUCCGGGCGGGAUGACGGUACCGGAAGAAUAAGCACCGGCUAACUACGUGCCAGCAGCCGCGGUAAUACGUAGGGUGCAAGCGUUAAUCGGAAUUACUGGGCGUAAAGCGUGCGCAGGCGGUUCGCUAAGACAGAUGUGAAAUCCCCGGGCUUAACCUGGGAACUGCAUUUGUGACUGGCGGGCUAGAGUAUGGCAGAGGGGGGUAGAAUUCCACGUGUAGCAGUGAAAUGCGUAGAGAUGUGGAGGAAUACCGAUGGCGAAGGCAGCCCCCUGGGCCAAUACUGACGCUCAUGCACGAAAGCGUGGGGAGCAAACA